GUCUAUGAAUAAUUCAAGUUACAUGGAGUAUAUCAAUAAAAUUUCUGCAAAUAUUGAAAUUUACUGGUUAGUAAAUGGUUGUAUUUGUACAUAUUUGGGCAAAAUAUUUAUACAUUGCUACUUUUGACUCUUUACUGCAUACACCUGUAACUGAUAAGUAUACAUGGAUGCCGGUAUGACAUUUUUGAAUUAGUGAGAAAGUGAUGCAGUCAAGGAAAAUCAUAUUUGUGAUUAGGGAAUUUAUUUUCUUUUUCCCCUUGAGGUUCUCCUUAUUUAGGAAG
This 281-nucleotide unclassified non-coding RNA is filed under the name Hevea brasiliensis (rubber tree). The record is from RNAcentral. Lineage: Eukaryota; Viridiplantae; Streptophyta; Magnoliopsida; Malpighiales; Euphorbiaceae.